This 1046-nucleotide ribosomal RNA is filed under the name Mycobacterium sp. ITM-2016-00318. Its description in RNAcentral is "bacterial LSU rRNA". It matches the Rfam family "Bacterial large subunit ribosomal RNA", at positions 1 to 971 of the family's 2925-position model. Lineage: Bacteria; Bacillati; Actinomycetota; Actinomycetes; Mycobacteriales; Mycobacteriaceae. The record is from RNAcentral.
GUGUUGUAAGUGUUUAAGGGCGCAUGGUGGAUGCCUUGGCACUGAGAGCCGAUGAAGGACGUGGGAGGCUGCGAUAUGCCUCGGGGAGCUGUCAACCGAGCGUGGAUCCGAGGAUGUCCGAAUGGGGAAACCCGGCGCGAGUGAUGUCGUGUCACCUGCUGGUGAAUAUAUAGCCAGUUGGGAGGUAACGCGGGGAAGUGAAACAUCUCAGUACCCGUAGGAAGAGAAAACAAUUGUGAUUCCGUGAGUAGUGGCGAGCGAAAGCGGAGGAUGGCUAAACCGGAUGCAUGUGAUACCCGGCGGGGGUUGUGUGUGCGGUGUUGUGGGGCGUUUCUUCUCUCAUCCGCCGAUGAGGGCGAAAGUGAUAAACCGUGGUGUUAGGUGAAGUGGCCUGGGAUGGCCUGUCCGGAGAGGGUGAGAGCCCCGUAACCGAAAACAUCGCGGCUUUCGUGGAACUGUCCCCGAGUAGCAGCGGGCCCGUGGAAUCUGCUGUGAAUCUGCCGGGACCACCCGGUAAGCCUGAAUACUUCUCAGUGACCGAUAGCGGAUUAGUACCGUGAGGGAAUGGUGAAAAGUACCCCGGGAGGGGAGUGAAAGAGUACCUGAAACCGUGUGCCUACAAGCCGUCAGAGCCCUCCACCUCGUGGUGGGGUGAUGGCGUGCCUUUUGAAGAAUGAGCCUGCGAGUCAGGGACAUGUCGCGAGGUUAACCCGUUGAGGGGUAGCCGCAGCGAAAGCGAGUCUGAAUAGGGCGUAUCCCCGGUAGGGGUGUAGUGGUGUGUUCUGGACCCGAAGCGGAGUGAUCUACCCAUGGCCAGGGUGAAGCGACGGUAAGACGUCGUGGAGGCCCGAACCCACUUAGGUUGAAGACUGAGGGGAUGAGCUGUGGGUAGGGGUGAAAGGCCAAUCAAACUCCGUGAUAGCUGGUUCUCCCCGAAAUGCAUUUAGGUGCAGCGUUGCGUGUUUCUUGCCGGAGGUAGAGCUACUGGAUGGCCGAUGGGCCCUACUAGGUUACUGACGUCAGCCAAACUCCGAAUGCCGGUAAGU